RNAcentral lists this ribosomal RNA (306 nucleotides) under uncultured bacterium. RNAcentral's name for it is "bacterial SSU rRNA". It matches the Rfam family "Bacterial small subunit ribosomal RNA", at positions 28 to 334 of the family's 1533-position model. The record is from RNAcentral.
GACGAACGCUGGCGGCGUGCUUAACACAUGCAAGUCGAACGGAAAGGCCCUUGCUUGCAGGGGUACUCGAGUGGCGAACGGGUGAGUAACACGUGGGUGAUCUGCCUUGUACUUCGGGAUAAGCCUGGGAAACUGGGUCUAAUACCGGAUAGGACCAUGCUUUAGUGUGUGUGGUGGAAAGUUUUUUCGGUACAAGAUGAGCCCGCGGCCUAUCAGCUUGUUGGUGGGGUAAUGGCCUACCAAGGCGACGACGGGUAGCCGGCCUGAGAGGGUGUACGGCCACAUUGGGACUGAGACACGGCCCAG